AGAGUUUGAUCAUGGCUCAGAACGAACGCUGGCGGCGUGGAUAAGACAUGCAAGUCGAGCGCUGAUUACAGGGUAGCAAUAUUCUGUAGUUGGAGCGGCGCAAGGGUGCGUAACACGUGGGUAAUCUGCCAUGAAGUUUGGGAUAACUUGCUGAAAGGCGAGCUAAUACCGGAUGUGACGAUUGGGAGGCAUCUUCCGAUUUUCAAAGUUGGGGACCGAAAGGCCUGACGCUUCAUGAUGAGCCCGCGGCCUAUCAGCUAGUUGGUGGGGUAACGGCUCACCAAGGCUAAGACGGGUAGCUGGUCUGAGAGGACGACCAGCCACACUGGAACUGAGACACGGUCCAGACACCUACGGGUGGCAGCAGUCGAGAAUUUUUCACAAUGGGCGAAAGCCUGAUGGAGCGACGCCGCGUGGGGGAUGAAUGGCUUCGGCCCGUAAACCCCUGUCAUUUGCGAACAAUUCGUUCGACCUAAUACGUCGAACGUUGAUAGUAGCGAAAGAGGAAGGGACGGCUAACUCUGUGCCAGCAGCCGCGGUAAUACAGAGGUCCCAAGCGUUGUUCGGAUUCACUGGGCGUAAAGGGUGCGUAGGUGGUGAGGUAAGUCGGAUGUGAAAUCUCCGAGCUCAACUCGGAAAUGGCAUUGGAAACUACCUUGCUCGAGGGUUGGAGGGGGGACUGGAAUGCUUGGUGUAGCAGUGAAAUGCGUAGAUAUCAAGCGGAACACCAGUGGCGAAGGCGAGUCCCUGGACAACUCCUGACACUGAGGCACGAAAGCUAGGGGAGCAAACAGGAUUAGAUACCCCCGUAGUCC
Molecule: ribosomal RNA, 815 nt
Filed under: uncultured bacterium
Lineage: Bacteria
Description: bacterial SSU rRNA
Rfam family: Bacterial small subunit ribosomal RNA
Source: RNAcentral